AAAAAGGAACCCAGAAAGGAAGUAGCUUACAAUGCCUUGAGAACACACACCACACAAUAAGUAACCCAUCUGAACACUCUCUCAUCAUUUCUAUUUAGACCUCCCAUUUCUCUUUGAUUUCAAUCACUGGUGUGUCUCCUGCCUCUGUUUUUACUCAAUAGGGGAAAAAAGUCGCAGUUAGCUCAUCUGUCAAUCAAAGCACAUAAGUUGUCUGUUACGCGCCAUACACCUCCACAAGCUCGCGGCUCAAUUAUUAACGGGCAGGUACUAAGGCAAACUGCUGACGGGACGCCCCCUCUUGACAGCUCAUUUGAAAGACAAUGGCCCCAUGCCCCCUCCACCCCCCACUUAACUUGUCAAAGCAGUGAAAGCACCUUGAAUCUGCCUGGCGUGACGUCAAUUACCAAGCCAUUAGAGAGAAGGAUAUCACCAUUUAAGAGAGAGAUUUAUGAAAUCGCCGGCCCAGAGUUUGCUUCUUUCUCAGCAAGUUUUAUAAACACGAGCCGGUAUUACUGUGUGUUGAUAUAAAGGAGGGACGGGGGGCAUUUCCCCCCCUAACUCUUCAAAUGAUUCAUAUAAUAAUACGUAUUAGAAAGAAAAUUAGCUAAGGUAAAAUGUUGGUCUACAUCCGAUUAAAAAAUACAUAUAAAAAUGUAACUCUUUAAAUUAUGUGUGGAAAUAAAUGAUUGAUUGUUAUGCAUAUAAAUGAAUUCAAUUUGAACUUAUUUGUAAAAUAAUUCUGCGGUACAAGCCUGUUGAUAAGUUUAAUUGUAUUGUCAGUUACUUCGUCGUAUACAGUGAAAUUAAAUUUGUAAUGUAAAAUAUUGUUUUGUUUAUUAUUAUUAUUAUUAUUAUUAUUAUAAAAAUGAAAAGGGUCAAGUUUGUUGAAUUAUGUACAUUUUUGUACCACUGUGUACAUUUUCAUACACAGCUCUUACUUUGUUAAAAAGGAAGUUUAUUAUUUUAUUUGUAUUGCACUUCAAACCAUAAAAGUUCAUUUUCAAAGCAACUGUGAUAGCAGAUAAUAAAAUAUGAAUUAAUAAAAAUGUCAUAAAAAUGUACCAAAGAGCACUUUAAACUUCAGCUAACUGUAUUUAUAUAAACUUAAUGUCAUCCCAUGUCUGAAACCCCGUUAAAUUAUUCUUUACAGUAACAUUCUGGCAACUACAGGUGCCAGUGCUGAACCAUAAAUUCAACAAAGCAUUCAACAAAGAUCAGAAAUGAGCUGCCAAUUUUUAAUGUGCAAAUCUUAGUUUUUUAAAUUACGUUCUAAAGUUGUCAUGUAAGACUUCCGGGAAUCCUGAGUGACAGCUGAUACAUUCUGACAGAAGAGUGUGACUCUUUUGACUGCCGUGUGAUUAAAGAUCACUCACACGCGGUUGCAAGUGUCAUUUAUGCUUUGUGAUACUGAAAAAAAACCCAUCCAGAUUUAUAAAUAUAAAAGAGAGUAGAAUCAAAGCACUAAUGUGUUAAAAAGUUAUCACAGUUACACGUCAUUUGUCAUAAUACAACAAAGAAAACGACGACUUUCUACGACUGCAGCAACUUUCUUUGCAGUACUUUCCUACGACGGCAUAUCUGCUUUACAUCAUGAUGGAAGAUACAAAUAACUGGUAUGAUCAACGGUGUCCCUCAAGGGCGUGAUCGCGAAACAAACCGUCACGUCACAAUAACGAACCACCCCUGAGCUCUCCGUCUGAACGUCUCCAUUCCGCUCUUUUAGAGCUCAGUUGUCUGCGGUGGAGUUUCUUUCCCUUCUUUUGAGAAGCGACGACGCAGGCAGAUCUGUCAUUCCUCUUUUCUUCAAUGCUGCCACACACCUUCCUCCUCUCAGAUAUGCUCAAUAAUUAACCAGGCAGGUAGGGAGUCGUCGAGAUGAAGCGCAGGUGGCCUAGGGUAGACGGCUUUGAAGAAGGGUAGGCAUGAUUGUUGAUUUUUGAUUGAGGUGGGAAUGAUGGUUUGACAGAGCCGUCAUUGGAAAGAUCAACGUGGGUGUUAUUACGCCUUAACGUGGGCCUCACAUUAGCAGAUAUAGGCUUUGUUCAGACAGGCAGCAAAAAUCUGUUUCUUGGCAUAUCUGAAUCCGUUUCGUUUUUGGUAGUUUGGGCCAGUGGUUCCCAACCUGGCAAAAGUGAAACCUGAUACUCAUUUCAGUUCUUGGAGUCUCUACUAAUGAGCUGAGGAAUAGAUUCAGGUGAGUUUGAUUAUGGACUCAUAGGCUACGUUCCAGUUUGAAGGGCUUGUACUCAUGCCCUAAUCCAGGGGUGUCAAACUCAGUUUCCAGAGAGCUGCAUCCCUUCAGAGUUUAGUUCCAAUACUGCUUCAACACACAUGCCAGGCGGUUUUCAAAUAAGCCUAAAUGACUUGAUUAGCUGGAUCAGGUGUGUUUAAUUAACCUAGGAACCUAGGUGUGCUGUUUGACACACUCCGUCAGUUUAAACCCCAUUUGGAAUGCACUUCUGUGUCAUCUUGCAGAGCCAGUUAAGGUUUAACAAACUAAACAUGAGCAAAGAAUCACAGUAGCAACAAGUCCAUCAGUAGUCCCCUUUUUUUCCACUUUGCACUUUGGUUUUGAAUGACUCUUCAAUGUUGCGACCAUAAGUCUAUUCGUACCAAAGUGACCUACGGAGGUGGAUUUAUCCAGUUUGGAGUGUCCAGGACCAGGGCUGGGAACUACUGGUAACAAAGACACACGUGAUAUGUGUACCUAGAAAGCGUGCCACACUAGUCCUCAAAAGUGAUAUACAUUUUCAAGUUCAAGUGUUCGUUUUUAAAUAAGUUUGGCUUUAAAUUUUAUGUCAUGCUGACAGCUGGGACUGACAGCUUCUCUUCAUUAAGAGACUGGAAUUGCAUUUACCUUAUUUUAAUGCAAGCCUCUUAUACGGCAAUCAGUAGACAAAAAGGUGGAGAAGUUAGGCUCAUUUAAAAAGGGUCAAGGGCGUCUGCAGGAGCGUGGGCAGAAUGUGACUACUGCGCAGACCCAAAGCAGCUUAAUACCCAAGCCCUAUUGGGACAAUGGCAGCUUGACUUUUCUUUAAUGGAAGUUCCGUCGUCCAUCUUUUUUUUGCAGUCUAUGGUACCCAGGCUCAGUGGAAAAAUGUGCCUCAACCAACAUUUCUGCAACUCAAAAAAACAAAAUGAGCACUAGAGGCAGUAAAACACUUGGACGGACAUUAGCCGAGCAAUAACUAGAGAUGCUAGAUAAAAAACAAAAGAGGAAAAUGUCUGCAGAACAAUAAAGGCUUAUUAAGAAGUACUGUAGUUCCUGUGCAAAUAUCAGUUCUAGCACUGAAGAGAAGUAAAAGAGCGGGAAGGACUGCAAUCAGACAGAGGUUGCUUUGUUUCUUCUGGAUAGUUGAGUAACAUUGGUUCUGUUUGUUUAACAGAACUAUAGUAAGUAUGUGUGGGGCGGAGCUAUUCAAAAUAGGGUUGUUUUUGCUUUGGUGAUUUCGAAUAUAAAUCACUUACCUUGCUGUCAAUGUCAUACAUUGUCGCAUAACACAAUAAUUUUGCUCGAUAACAAAAGGGAUUAAAACCAUAUUAUUAAGAUUAAAAUAGCACGGCUGCUACUAUUAUUAUCCCAACUGCACAUUUUUAGUGAGUUGGGAUAUCCAGAAUAAGUGGCUUGUAAUCACUUGAUUGGCUCCCAGAAUGGUCAAAAAUUCUGUUUAUCUUCAUUGACAGUUACUCAUGUUUGUUUCUUGGCAUCUUGCUUAUGAUUACAAGACUACAAUAACUAAUGGUGUAGAUACAGCAGAAACAGUCUGCACUUCACCAACAGAUGCGAUUUUAUAUACAGAGCGUCGUAAAGUUUGGAUCUGAAAUCCAAAUGGGAUUUGUGUGAACAAAGCCUAAAUCAAGCCUAAAAAUCUUUUCACAAAAAACGAUUUUGCUUUAAAAUCUCGAUCUCUCGGCAUGGUGCUUUUUGACGAGAGUUCUGUCACGCUGUCAGUGAAGACAAGCUCUUUCAGAUUUGCUGGGGUACCCGGCUAAACAUUAACACUACUCCUGCCCCUUUAGGCCGGAGGACACCCUUACCCAGGUGGAGGGACAAUAACGGGGAGCACUCCUCAUUGCCCUGCAUUUAUUUGUACCAUCAGCAGAUUCUUUUCUUUCUUUGACAUGUUUAUGGCCGUGUUUUUCAGCCCUCGCUCACACAAUUCGUUCUUUUCUGUCUUUUCUUACCCAACGUGUCUCUCAUCUGCACAUUUUUGGCAUUCCCCGUCAUGAGUUUCUCAGGGAGUGUUCUAGAAGAGGGGAAAACAAGCGCGGCUUUAAAGUUUUCCCGUAAUGGCCGAGCGGGCCGAGGGGAAGCGUUCUCCCGGAGGGACGGAAAGACAGGAAGGAGCUCUGGCAGAGGCUCUGGGUCAGAGGACAGCAGGGAAACGGUCAGGACAUCAUGGUUAAUGCAAGAACAGAAGACUAACCUUUGGACUGUGUGAAAAUACACAUGCUAUACACAAGAGAAUAUUGUGGUGUCACAGUGAAGGGACUCUAGGGGCCCAAGCUGGAUCCUGGAGGGGAAAACGAAUGCGACUUCAACCCAAAGUGGAACAGUUUUGUCCCAGCUCAGGGGACUGAAUGCUUUGUGCUGAGUGGACAGAGAGAAGAUCCGGCUCCACAUUGCCUCUGUUUUAGGAAGUCCGGCCAUUCUGAGGAGGAUUAUGUGGACCGUCCCCCUACAGUAAACCCCCUCUAUCCAUUACACCUCUGUUACUGUCUGUCUGUGUCGGACCACAAAUACAGCAUAUCUUUCCAGGUUAAUUGUAAAUGCAGUGAGUACAAUCAACCAUCGCUCAUUCAGUCUAUUGUUUCCCAUCACGUUUAAUGACGCAUAUACACUGAUGUGGAUAGAGAGUAACCUUGCUCUCAUAUAUCCGGAGAGACAUCAAUUUCUAGGUAAUUUUUGUCUAAACAGUUCAGCAAAAGGAAGCAUUUCUCAUCCACACACAUGGCAGGAAAUAGUACUCUUUUUUUUUUUGUAUAUUGCGAUACUCUUAUUUCCUGUUUUUUUCUUUUCGCCCAAUAUCUCGUCGAAAUGAAAUAUUUAUUGAAUUCAAAAAAUUACAAAGCUGAUUCAGUUUGAAUCAUUUUUGACAAAGCAGCUUAAUAUCAGCUGUUCGUUUAUAAUUAUUCCAUUACGAUUUUCUUUUCUGUGCAUUGACCCUAUAUUUGAUCGUAAAUAAAAAAGUCACAUUUUUAUGCUUGUAAUUA
Molecule: long non-coding RNA, 5214 nt
Organism: Puntigrus tetrazona (Sumatra barb)
Lineage: Eukaryota; Metazoa; Chordata; Actinopteri; Cypriniformes; Cyprinidae
Exons: 4
Source: RefSeq, a predicted model, not a curated record